Molecule: long non-coding RNA, 373 nt
Filed under: Nicotiana benthamiana
Lineage: Eukaryota; Viridiplantae; Streptophyta; Magnoliopsida; Solanales; Solanaceae
Description: long non-coding RNA (NBEN_LNC041565)
Source: RNAcentral
UCACAAUAUUCAUCCAAAUAUCUUUGAUGGAGUACUUCAUUUCAUAUUUUAGAAUGUUGUAGUGCAACAACUAAUUUUUAGUGGCUUUACCUUGUUAUAAGAUUUCACCUGUGUGCAUAAAUGCAUGUCUCUCCAAUAAUGGGUCUGAAAUAUAUAGAAAAAGGAGGGGUUUGGCUGUAGUGGGUUUUCUUGGUGGAGUGCCGUCUGUCGUUCUAGCUUUUUGGAUUUAGGACUUAGGAAUUAUUUUAUAGGAAGUACGAAUUAGGUUAGGUCAAACCAAAAAAAUAUAUGGCCUCAAUGUUUUAGAUUAUUCGGGUCUUUCCAAUUUAAAAUCUUAAUCUUUUCCAUAAAUAAUGUAAGAUAUAUACUAUAA